UAAUUUUGAUAGCAUAGACCCACUACAACAAAAACGGUCUAUAGCGACACUUUUAAAUAUAGGUACAUGUCAAAAAAGUGCUGCUAGCCAAAAUUACCGACACUUUUAAAAAGUGUUGCUAUAUAUGGGGUCGCUAGGUAUAUAGUGACAGUUAAAGAGUGUCGCUAUAACCUAAAAGAAUGCUGCUAAUUUACCAACACUUAUUUAAACAUUUAGCAACCGUCGAAACUCUAUCUUGUUGGCUGCGGUGGCGGAGGAGGACGACAGGAAAGGCUCUUCGUCUAGAAUUUCAGUGGAUUGAGUGAAGAGAGAAGAAAAGAUGGUAAUUGAUUUUUCUUUUUUUUUUCUUUUCUGUUUGUAAUCGGGCCAAAUGGACUGGGUGUGGUGGGUUGAGUAGAGUAAUCUUUUAUUUUUGGUUGGAUUGGGCUUUAAAUUUAGGCAUUAGUAGAUGUUUUUUUAAGUUUUAGGAUAUAUGGGACACUUACUCAAAAGUGUCCCAAACAUGUGUCCCUAUAACCUAAUUCUGUUGUAGUGACCACGCCGACUCCAGUAAAGCAAUACAGCCAUAAACAUAGUUUUAUAGA
RNAcentral lists this long non-coding RNA (584 nucleotides) under Ananas comosus (pineapple). Its description in RNAcentral is "long non-coding RNA (ACOM_LNC029907)". The record is from RNAcentral. Lineage: Eukaryota; Viridiplantae; Streptophyta; Magnoliopsida; Poales; Bromeliaceae.